GUUACAUGGCACCUGAUACUUUAUUACAUUUCUAGUGGCGGACGGGUGAGUAACACGUUGGAACCUGCCCCAAAGUGAGGAUAAGCCACCGAAAGGUGGUCUAAUACUUCAUAAUAUCCAUCUCGUAUGGAUUAAAGCUUUAUGCGCUUUGGGAGGGGCCUGCGUAACAUUAGCUAGUUGGUGAGGUAAAAGCUCACCAAGGCUUCGAUGUUUAACUGGUUUGAGAGGAUGACCAGUCACACUGGGACUGAGAUACGGCCCAGACUCCUACGGGAGGCAGCAGUAAGGAAUCUUCCACAAUGGGGCAACCCUGAUGGAGCAAUACCGCGUGCAGGAUGAAGCGUUUCGGCGUGUAAACUGCUUUUAUCACCGAAGAUUAUGACUGUAGGUGAAGAAUAAGGACCGGCUAACUACGUG
This 417-nucleotide ribosomal RNA is filed under the name uncultured bacterium. RNAcentral's name for it is "bacterial SSU rRNA". It matches the Rfam family "Bacterial small subunit ribosomal RNA", at positions 61 to 507 of the family's 1533-position model. The record is from RNAcentral.